UCAGGAUGAACGCUGGCGGCGUGCCUAAUACAUGCAAGUCGAACGAGAGUGCUUGCACUCUAGUGGCGAACGGGUGAGUAACACGUAGGUAACCUGCCUUACAGUUUGGGAUACCCUGGCGAAAGCUAGGCUAAUACCGAAUAAUUGGAUUGGAGGCAUCUCCGAUCUCUAAAAGGGGCCUUUAAAGCCUCGCUGAAUGAUGGACCUGCGGCGCAUUAGCUAGUUGGUGAGAUAACAGCCCACCAAGGCGAGGAUGCGUAGCCGACCUGAGAGGGUGAACGGCCACACUGGAACUGAGACACGGUCCAGACUCCUACGGGAGGCAGCAGUAGGGAGUUUUCGGCAAUGGGGGCAACCCUGACCGAGCAACGCCGCGUGAAUGAUGAAGGUCCUUCGGAUUGUAAAGUUCUGUUAUAAGGGAAAAAUGAUAUGGUGAGGAAAUGCUCCAUAUUUGAUGGUACCUUAUUAGAAAGCCACGGCUAACUACGUGCCAGCAGCUGC
This 501-nucleotide ribosomal RNA is filed under the name uncultured bacterium. RNAcentral's name for it is "bacterial SSU rRNA". It matches the Rfam family "Bacterial small subunit ribosomal RNA", at positions 24 to 518 of the family's 1533-position model. The record is from RNAcentral.